UACGUAGGGUGCGAGCGUUGUCCGGAAUUAUUGGGCGUAAAGAGCUCGUAGGCGGCUUGGUAGGUCCGCUGUGAAAACUCGAGGCUCAACCUCGAGAUGUCGGCGGAAACCACUUGGCUAGAGUCCGGAAGAGGAGAGUGGAAUUCCCGGUGUAGCGGUGAAAUGCGCAGAUAUCGGGAAGAACACCUAUGGCGAAGGCAGCUCUCUGGGACGGUACUGACGCUGAGACGCGAAAGCGUGGGGAGCGAACAGG
RNAcentral lists this ribosomal RNA (253 nucleotides) under uncultured bacterium. Its description in RNAcentral is "partial 16S ribosomal RNA". It matches the Rfam family "Bacterial small subunit ribosomal RNA", at positions 524 to 776 of the family's 1533-position model. The record is from RNAcentral.